This 447-nucleotide ribosomal RNA is filed under the name uncultured bacterium. RNAcentral describes it as "bacterial SSU rRNA". It matches the Rfam family "Bacterial small subunit ribosomal RNA", at positions 355 to 825 of the family's 1533-position model. The record is from RNAcentral.
UGGGGAAUCUUGGACAAUGGGCGCAAGCCUGAUCCAGCCAUGCCGCGUGAGUGAAGAAGGCCUUCGGGUUGUAAAGCUCUUUUACCAGGGACGAUAAUGACGGUACCUGGAGAAUAAGCCCCGGCAAACUUCGUGCCAGCAGCCGCGGUAAUACGAAGGGGGCUAGCGUUGUUCGGAAUUACUGGGCGUAAAGCGCACGUAGGCGGAUUUGUCAGUCAGGGGUGAAAUCCCGGGGCUCAACCUCGGAACUGCCUUUGAAACUAGGUCGCUAGAAUCACGGAGAGGUGAGUGGAAUUCCGAGUGUAGAGGUGAAAUUCGUAGAUAUUCGGAAGAACACCAGUGGCGAAGGCGGCUCACUGGACGUGUAUUGACGCUGAGGUACGAAAGCGUGGGGAGCAAACAGGAUUAGAUACCCACGUAGUCCCUGAGCGGGCUGGCAAGGCGCAU